RNAcentral lists this transfer RNA (87 nucleotides) under Acidobacteria bacterium OLB17. RNAcentral describes it as "tRNA-Leu". It matches the Rfam family "tRNA". Rfam says of the family: Transfer RNA (tRNA) molecules are approximately 80 nucleotides in length. Their secondary structure includes four short double-helical elements and three loops (D, anti-codon, and T loops). Lineage: Bacteria; Pseudomonadati; Acidobacteriota. The record is from RNAcentral. RNAcentral also lists the same sequence under 4 other names.
GCCGGAGUGGCGAAAUUGGUAUACGCACCAGACUCAAAAUCUGGCGAGGGCAACUUCAUGUCGGUUCGAGUCCGACCUCCGGCACCA